This 95-nucleotide microRNA precursor is filed under the name Poecilia formosa (Amazon molly). RNAcentral describes it as "microRNA 30c-1 (ENSPFOG00000021229.1)". The record is from RNAcentral. Lineage: Eukaryota; Metazoa; Chordata; Actinopteri; Cyprinodontiformes; Poeciliidae.
AGUGAGAUAUUUAAAUUUGUUGUCGAGUGGACUGUCUCCAGGCUUGUAAACAUCCUACACUCUCAGCUGUGUUGUCAUGGAGCUGGGAGAGGGGU